UCUGGUUGAUCCUGCCAGUUGUCAUAUGCUUCUUUCAAGGACUAAGCCAUGCAAAUGUCAGUGGACUCGGGGUUUCUCGGGGGGACUGUGUACGGCUCAUUAAACGGUUAAUAGUCUACCCAACAGCGGGAGCGUGCGUGCUCUCCGACGGGAUAACCGCCCUAACCGGGCAGCUAAUACCUGGAAGACAGAUCCUUUGCCAAUCAACCACGGUCGGGGUAAAACCCGAUUGUGGGGUGAAGGAUGCUAUUGGCCGGAACAAAGACCAACGCGACGAUUGUCAAAGGUCGUGGCAGAUGGAAUUGUUGACACAGGCCAAUGAAGCAGAAGCGUCACGGGCUAGUACCUCGUGAUGCGGUGUUGGACGAAUUCACCACCUAUCAGGUAGAAGGUAGUGUAGUGGACUACCUUGCCUCUGACGGGUAACGGAGGAUUGGGGUUCGAUUCCGGAGAGGGUGCCUGAGAAAUGGCAACCAUGACUACGGUCAGCAGCAGGCGCGCAAAUUGCCCAAUGCAGACGAUGCGAGGCAGCGACGAAAAAUAGUAUUUCUGAUGCUCAAAUUGAGCCUCAGAUUGCAAUGGAUUGUAUCUAAUACACACUGCUGAGUAGCAAUUGGAGGGCAAGUCUGGUGCCAGCAGCCGCGGUAAUUCCAGCUCCAAGAGCGUAUAUAAAUGUUGUUGCGGUUAAAAAGCCCGUAGUUGGAUUUGAGAGCAAGGCUUGUGAUGGCUACUUCGCGUCCACAGUGGAUGUCAGCCUUCGGGUUGGCGUGUUGCUGUGGAAGUGGAGGUUCAUAGACAUCACAUAUGGGCUUUGGUCUGAGACAUGCGGGAUUGUCCACUGGCCCAUCUCAGACACAUUCGUUUGUGUGUGAGGGGCAACAUCGGAGGGUUGAUUCAAUCCACUCCACAAGGUGCGCCCGCAGACGUCACUGUGAGUAAACCAGAGUGUUCAAGGCAACCAUCAAUGCGUGGUUGAAUGUUAAAGCAUGGAAUGACAAGGGAUCGACCUGGAGGGCCUCUUUUUGUUGGUAUCUUUAAGCCUUUCAUUAUCAAUCUUGGGGAAUCGAUGGUCACAUGAGUUAUCAUGUUUGGCAGGUGCCUUUCACGAGGUUGCUUGUUUCAAUCUUGGUGGCUUGUGGGAUCAACACACGGGAUCAAUAGGAGCACAGGGGGCCAUGAGUACUGGCAGGCUGGUGGUGAAAUACUGUGACCCUGCCAAGACUGACAUCAGCGAAAGCACUUGGCAAUUGUGCUUUCAUUAAUCAAGGACGAGAGAUCGGGGAUUGAAGAGGAUUAGACACCCUCGUAAUCCGUUCUGUAAAUUCUGCAGACUUGGGAUCGGUCAGCGAUCUGAUAACCAAUAGACCUGAUCGGCACCUUCCUCCUAUUAUCGAGAAAUCAUUAAGUCUAUGUGUUCCGGGGGGAGUACAUUCGCAAGGCUGAAACUUAAAGGAAUUGACGGAGAACCACCACCAGUCGUGGAGUGUGUGGCUUAAUUCGACCCAACACGGGAAAUUUUACCAGGCCAGGACGUGGUAAGGAUUGCCAGAUUGAAAGCUCUUGCAUGAUUCCGCGAAGGGUGGUGCAUGGCCGCUUCUGGUUGGUGAAGUGAUUUGUCUGCUUAAUUGCGUUAACGAACGAGAUCUCUGCCAAUUACUAGAUGCAUGCCUCGUGAAAU
RNAcentral lists this ribosomal RNA (1678 nucleotides) under metagenome. RNAcentral describes it as "SSU rRNA". It matches the Rfam family "Eukaryotic small subunit ribosomal RNA", at positions 1 to 1376 of the family's 1831-position model. The record is from RNAcentral.